Prinia subflava (tawny-flanked prinia) is the source of this 7947-nucleotide long non-coding RNA. RefSeq lists it as uncharacterized. Lineage: Eukaryota; Metazoa; Chordata; Aves; Passeriformes; Cisticolidae. The record is from RefSeq and is a predicted model, not a curated record. The transcript has 3 exons.
UUGAUAUUUUUCCUGUUAUAUGCAAAUUCACAGAAAGAAGCAUGCAGCACCAUUUCUUCUUCCUACUAGGAUUAAUAAGUACAGCUAAUCAGCAUGAAGAUGGCAUCAAUUGGGUGUACCUAUAUAAGUACAAAGUGUCAUGUCACAGGUUGAAUGAGGUGAUUGUCUCCCUCUACUCAGCUCUUGUGGAACCCCACUUGGAGUAGUACAUCCAGCUCAGGGGUCCCCAAUGGAUGAAGGACAUGGACAGGCCGGAGUGAGUUCAGAGGGACAAAUCAGUGAUGGGUGUGAGAUUUCUUCCAUUGUACUUGUUUACGCACGCCAGCAGGUAUGGAUGGCUUGACAGGAUGAAGGGAUCGCCGAGGAAUGAAGCCAAAGUGAUGGUACCCAUAGGUGGCAGCAGUAACUGCUGCUGGUGCUGCCUGUCAGUGCCGCUCCAAUUCAGCCUUGGGACCCAGACGAGGUUUAAACCAAUUGACCUGAUCCUCUGAGUCGCUAAACAGCUAUUCCAGAGUUCUUAAAAUGGGGUCGUGCACCGAUCUCCUUGCAGAAACCACCAGCAGAGUGCAUCUCACUGGAAGCUGGUUCAAUUGCCAGAAAUAACCCUGCUGUGAUUUCUUGAAGGAAGGAGGUAUAAUAUUUAUUCAAGUGCUAUGGUUGACAGCAGUAAGAAAUGGCAUUUAUAUUAGAAUAUUAAAUCCUGCUAUGUUCUCACAGGAUGUGUUUUUCCUAUAGAAUGAACAGAUAAAAACCGUGUGUGUUUAAAGCUAUCAAAACUGAAUGCCAUUAUGAUGGAGGACAAUUUGGACCAAUAUCCCUUCCUGCUAACCCAAGAAUUACCUUGUAUACAAAAUAUUUAUGUAUUCACCACCUUUGACUGAAUAAAGGUGGGAGGAAUUGUUGUCAUGAUAUAGAGGGGCAGCAGCAGCUGCUUCUGACUGCUGUAAGCAGGAAGACAGAAGUCAGGGAGGAUUUUAUCCAUAGGAGUUUCCCAUUUUUCAUCUUUGCAUGCUGGGAAUCAUAUAAGUUGCAAAUAAGAAUUUCAUGUCCUCGCAACCCUGGUCUUACUUUCUUCCUAAAGGAAUCUUGCAGUGGGAUUGCCAGGGAGGACUUUCUGUGCUGCAUUUUAAUUGCUCCUCAGAGAUCUGGUUCACACUGGCAGAAGAUUUGGAAAAAAAUACGAUUUCCAGGCAAGUGAAAAGGGAAGGAGUAGAGUGGAAUUUGGGGCUCAUCUCUACUGGUGAAAUCUUUCCUCCCUAGAGAUUGUUGUGCAUUGGCUUUUUAACUUUCUGGAAAUGCAUCUAUUAUUUACAGUCUUUCCCAGUUUAUCUCAGGCAGGGCAGUGCAAAUAUACAAGACAAAGUCAGCAGCCUGUGUGUGCUUUUUAAGAAGGACAUGAUAUGCUGUGAAGAGAAUUAGGAUCGGGAGCCGUGUGAUGGUGUGUGCAAGGAUGCAUGAGCAAUCCGGGUGUGCUGCCAGCAGUUUUAAAGUUUUACCACUGUCAUAUAAGGACAGUAAUACUAUAGUGGCCUCUGGUGUAGCAGGCCUUGUGUGCAGUGCAGAAAGUGUGGCUUUGAGGGAAGAUUUUAAGGAGGAGGCAGAGAAGAAGCUUUGUGGAGUAGUCCAGAGGUGUCUUCCAGGUGUAAAUGUGCAAAGAAAAGAUUACAAGUUAGUAGUAGGUAAAAAUAUCCAUAGGGGGGACAGACAUGAACUUAAAGUGGUGAAAGGAGGGCAGAAGAGAUGAGCAUGAAAGUUUGAAAAACAGGCUGAGAAUAUGUUGAGAAUAUAUGACAGACCCAGAGCUGAAGCUGUGCUGACUCUGUGUGAUACAGCUGGAAGAGCAAUGGGGAAAGACACUAAACGGGGCUGGAGGAAUCUGAAUAUAGGCCAGGGAACUGACGGUAGCAGUGACAUUUUGUACUGGACUAAAAUGGAUAUCAGUCAAGAUUUGGGUUGUCAUGUAAAGAAGGAAAGAGGCAGAUGUAGGGAUGGGAAAUGGAGGUGAAAAGUGGAAGGCCGUUACUUGCUGUCCGUUAUCCUGUGAGACAGUUGAGCAGUAAAUCAAUUAUGAUACCAAGCAAUUGUGUAGAUAAUGAGUUAAGCAAUGAGGCAGUUAUACAGCAAAUCAUUUCUGAUAUUAAAUAAAAAUGGGGAGAAUCAACAGCAAUAUGAAUCAAUUAUGCAGAGAACUAUUACCAAAGUCAGUCGGUUAAGUAGAGAAACAGUUAUGCAGCAAGAGAAUGAACAAAUUAAUUAUCAAGUGGACCAUAAUGCUGAGAAUUAAUUAUGCAGAAUCUUCCUUUGUGAUAAGAGGCAUAUCUGAGGCAGCUUCAUGCACAGAAAAAAAUAUCAAAAACAAAGCCAUAUAAGCAUGUGCAAAACUAAUGAAGACACAAGUCCUGCAGCAGUUGUCAGACUGUUUGUGACAUCCUCUCAUCUGUCUCUUUGGGCUAGACUAACCUGUGCUACAGUGGGUGCUGAGGCCAUUAAAGAAGCAGAGCCGAGGAAGCCUGUUUCUCCACCAAGCCUUCCUUCACUGGGAACGUGGACAUAAGAUAAAGCAAGUUCAGAGAUGACUUUGUGGCUCUGACAGGUGGGAUGUAGAAGGAGCUCAUGGUCUCUGGAGUCAUGUGAGCAGCACAGAGAGGCUCAAGUUUCUUCAUGGCCCCCAUGAAUGGUCAAACUGUAUACUUUCUACCAAAGAGACUGGAAGCUAGAUUCUCCUCUGCCUUGCAUUGGUUUCCACCUCUAAAAAGUAGGUGUCAAUCAGCAGAGAAAUGUUUCCAUUUUGUCACUUGUCUCUAAAGUUACAGCUGGAUGGAAAACAAUUGACCUUUUGGUCAAUACUACACUCCCUGAUAGUGUCAAGUGUAAGGAUUCUGCUUCAAGAGACAUCUGUCUUACUUUAAACAGAUAAAAAUGCAAGGCAGACCCCAAGGCGAUGGAAAACAAAUUUCCAAAUUUUUAUUCCUGUGGUAUCAAUUAAAUAUUCUGACUUAUUCAGGGGAUACAAUAUGCUGUAUCAUUUUUUCUUAAAAGGAGAAAAUAAAGCUAAAUAAGCUAAACCCCAAAAAUCCUGCAAGAGAGAAAGGAAUCUGUAACAUCUUUGAGAGAACCAUGGGUUUUACCAGUUAAACCCUUUACUUAGACAACACUUCCAUCUAAUCCUGUGAUAAAUUGGCUUGACAUCUGGAUCCAACUGAGAAGAAAUGCUGAACUAGAUUCUUCUAACUAUUACCUGUUCCAAGUCUAGUUGGAUUCUUAAGAUGGCUGGCAAAAAAGCCACUUUGCUGCUCCUAUUCCCUUCUCCACCAAGGUUAAGUUUGCUGUAUUUCUCACUACAGCUCAGAAGAGCAAUAGUGAAGAGGUCUGUCUAUAGAUAACCAAACCUAAAGCCUCCCCUUUGGCCAAUGCUGCAAUGCAAGCACAGAAUAUUCAUGUCUAAAACACGUCUUUCACACAAACAAAACAAGAUAUAGGUUCAGUUGAAGCAAUUAUUGUUUAUUCCAGCAAGGUUAAUGUCGUAUUUGUUGUUUAGAGAGAGGAAGUUAUAUGGUAUGUUCUGAUGAUAAUAAUAUAAACACAAUAGUAGCUAUUCAUAUGUUUUUAGCAGAAGUACUGUGAAACUAGUAACAGAAACUUCUUAAUGAAUUAGCCAAUAAUGUUAAAAAGCAUAAUAAAGAAAUAUGUGAAAUAAAAAAAUAUGACAUAAAAGUUUAAAGGAAAAUGGUAUCUGCUGAAGCAGAAAUAGACUGAUGUGGUUGGAUACGAUGCCACCAUAUUUCUGUUCAGCCAUGUUAACAAUGAUGUCAACUCUUAUUCUCAUCUGAAACAGAGAAUGUUAGCUUCAGCUCUGGACAGUUGCUCCUGUCUGUGGCUUUCUGUCACGAUUUUGGUGCAGCACAUCAGAAUCAAAUCUGGCACAUGCAAUCAGUAUUAAUUGCACAGGAUUAUCUCUAAGGUGAUGUGACAAGACCUUUAUGCUGAAGGUCAGGGCUGCUGAAGUUAGCACUGCCUUUAUAAGCACCCAGGCAUGCAACUGGGCAUUACGCAGGUAUGGUAUAAUUUCCUCCUUUUUUUUCCUUUAAGGUAUGAGAAUCAGUUAGUCACACAGAUGCUUUUUGUUGGUCUCUGCAUCUACAUAUAUAAUUUUCAUCAGGUCUCUAAUUUUUUUUUUUUAAGGUUUCUGCAGACUUCUCCACAUUUUGAUUUCAGCUAGAAACUCAGUUUCAGGGAGCAGAGCAUACCUGUGGCAUGCUCUGUGCAAAAUGGCUCAAGCUGGGUAUUUGCUUUCAAAAUGGGCUUCCAACCCCGUUAGUUUGUUUCUUUCACUGCUGUUUUCUUUCCAGACAUCUCCAUCCUAGAAUUAUCUCCUUUUAGAACUGUGGAGUGAUUUUGGCUGAAUUUAAUCUCAUGUUAUUGAUUUAAUGCUAUGUUAGUGUUAAACCUUCUCUGUUUCUUAUCCCCAAUGAUGUUUUAAGAUGCUUAAAACUAAAAAUUAUGUAUACACCUCAAGACAAAGAUGCAAAAGUCCUAAAUGUCUGCCAUCCCAGCGAUGACUGACAUUUUAGGUAGCACUGUUGUUCUUUGACAACACUGAUCAGCUUUCUAAGAGUUUUAAAGCUGUGGAUAGAGGGAGGAAAUUUUGCCAACAUGAAUCGGAAGAAAAACUCAUAAUCUUGUUUACAAAAACACAGGAAAAGGGGAAUAAACAACCUUGUUUCCUUUCAUGUAACUUCUGAGUGGGUUUUUUUACCCCUUGGCAACAAGCAAUGUCUUUGGCUGUAGCUGCAGUUAAGGAAGCUGCUUCCCUUACCUUAACUUUGACCUGCUUCCCAGCAUCCUCCAAUGUUUGCAGAUGUCCUUAGUACAUCUAGACUAGAGACUGGUUCUGGACCCAAGGCUCUGUGGCUGAUAAUUAUUAAUAUAUUGCAAGACUGUCAAAUGUACUCUUUAGCUGGAUACAAAUGAUUCUUUUUGCCUCCAUGGAAAAAUGCAAACUCUGUAGUCCAGAGAUAAAGAGUUUCUCUUUUGUGUAAUAUUUCAUUGGAUCUGUAGAUUGAAUGAGCUGGUUAUGGAAGCAUUUUCUAGACAACUGCAAUGUUUCAAUUCAGAAAACUUUAGCUUCUAGGCAGGUGCCUGUUAACUGACACUGAAGACCCAUAAAGACAAGGCAAACCCAAUGUCCUUGAGGACAUGAAAUCAAACUCCUUCUGAGCCUGGAGGCAUUAUUUGUUUAGAAAUGAUCAAUGACUCUACAAACUUUGAGAAACAUCGAUGAGGUCCAUGAUGUACUUUCUGAAAUGUCAGUUGCCUUUGUAGAAGUCACACAGACUUAGUGAGGGCUGAGAGAAGACAGUCCACUCAAGGAAUGGUGCAUAGGCAAGACAGAUGCAAGCAUAAGUUACUUAAAAUACCCUAGAUGUUAUCUAAUGCUUUGUUUCUUCUAAUCAUGACUUAAAUAUGAGACCUGGUCAUAGACUCCCUGGGGAGGAGACAUGAAUGCCACAAACUGACUGUGUGUCUGGGCUGCGACUGGUUACUCUACAGAGCACUGUAGACUCAUCUAAAAAUAGGGAAUGUUCCCCUCUACAGCUGAUGUAAAGAGUGAUCUCUGCUGGGAGGGAUUUGGAGGGACUCAGAGGAGGACUGAGAUCCAAUUAACUUUAUAACCAUAAAAAUUGCAUAAAAUAAAUCCCUGUGUAUUUGGAAAAAAAGCAUUAAAAUGUCAACAUCACCUACAGCUUUCCAAAAAUAAAUAUUGUGAGGCCAAAAGACUUGGAAGAAGACAUCUUUAACUUGUGAUAGAUAACUGCUUAACUAUUCAUAAAAAGAAUUAGCCCCCAUUUCUUUAGGAUUCUGCAAGACCACAAUUCCUUUUUAAAUAAAAGGUAGAUCACUCAGAAAAUGAAACUUCACCCCCUGACUGCAAGAUGUUAUGAAUUAAUACUGUGGCUGGAAGAAGUAGUAUGUUUCUUUUUGUUACUGACCAAUAGUCUGGGUUAUAUUUUGCAGCAUUUCCAAAUGAAAGAAAGCAGUCCAAUAAAAGAUUUUGCAUCAGUAAGGUCAUUUGGGGACAUAAUUGUGCCUGAAACAUGUUGCAUUUUUGGCAAUAUAUGAAAAGAGAUUACAGUUCUGGGUACCUAAUUUUUUGAGAUAGAUCCUGUUUGUGUAGAAAUCUUUCUCCCUUGCACUUAAGUGUCAAAUUUCAUUGCAUUAAAAAAGAGUACACACCAUAACAGAUGGCAAAAAUGCCAUUGAAUAAUUUUUAAUAAUAGCAGAAAGCUAGUUGCUUGUCAGCAGAAAAUACCUUUUCCAGAAUUGGCAGAAACCCUACAGAAUAUCCAUGUUUUUGCUGUAAGGUUCAAGCUGGUUGAUUUUGUAAAAAUCUGACAAAAGUAGUCUUUGCAUUCAUCUAAAUAUAUUUAGGUAAGGUACAGCUGCUGAAAUGAGUACCUAAUUGCUGUGAAAUUCUGCUGGGGUGCCAAAAAGAAAAAACAGAUUUUAAAAAGAUGAAAUUACUUCAGUUAUGACUUAGCCAUCUGAUGAAGCAAGGUACUCUGGCUUUUGGAAGAGCUUUGUAUGAGUUUAUGCACACUGAAGACUUUCAUUUUACAUUUUUUCAUUGAGAGUAUUAUGUAGAUUGGUACUCUGCCUGCUAAACCUUCUGGUUUGAAUAGGAUGGAUGUCCUUUUUGGAACCGGUAUGAGAAAUGGCAAUAUUAUUAUAAGUCCUGUAUUGCAGAUAUAAAGCCCCUAAAUUAUAGUUGCUGACUUUUUUUCAUAUAUUUUCAUCAUCAAGGAAAAGCCCCUAUAAUUCAGUAGAACAAGUAGAAACUCAUUAUACAUUUAUCUCACUAUUGUUAAGGUUAUUGUGAAUGUCUGAAGAAGUUUGACAUUUUUUGCUUUAUAUCCAUUUCUCCUAAAGGAAUGGCAAAUGAUGUAUGAGCAUUUUUUUAACAUAACAAGCUAAAGUGUUACUUUAUAUUUAAAGCAAAGGAAUUUAUGUUUAAAACAAAGAAUACUAAAUACUGCUCCUAAGGAAGAUCCCUCAGUGGGCAGUGCCUGACAAAAUGGCCCAAAUUACUAAAUCACUACAUCUUUCCAGAUUACAAUGCUGUGUUCACAAAGAAUAUAACCCAGAAGGUGAUUUAAAACUUUCAGCAGAACUCUUUCCAUGAACGAUUUAUAUUUUUUGUAUAACUCUAAUCCAAAUAAACACUUUGAAAUGAAACAGAAGCUGAUAGCCAUAAUUUCUGUCUUAGGAGAGACCCUAACCCAGUGAGGACCCAGCAUUUUUUGUAAUAUCUUUACUUUCCUACAGCUGUUGAUGGGAAAAUUAUCUCAAUGUUUUCCAUCUACCGUGAGUCUUGUUCUUCUUAUUUUGAUAUAAUAUUGAAGACAUGAAUAGCUGGAAGAAUAGAUGUGAUUUCUUGAUUGAUAGAAACACAGAAAAUCAGGGGGAUCUUACACACACUGAUACCACCCAUCUUUGCUGUGUCAAGAAGGUCACUUGAAAUCUGAAGGCCUUCCAUGCAGUUUACAUCUGGCCUUUAGGCUCUGCAACUCACUGAAUUCUCAAACUUGGAAAAACAUCCUAUCUGUUGACUCUAUGGGUUCAGUAUAAAGACCCUUAUUUUUCCCUGAACAGGACUCUGCUCGGGGAAGAAUCUCACUGAUACAGAAAUGUGAUUCCAGCUUUUCAUUUGCCAAGUGUAUUUUUAACUAUUUAUUUUUGAGUGGCUGUGCUACACUUUGCUUUAGUGUUAUUUUUAUAAAGAUAAUUUGUAGCUGUGUAAAAGGUGCUGAGGAUGCACUUCUAGAACCCUUUUGUACAUAUGCAAAAAUAAUGAAUAAAUAAAUAAAUGCUCCUUUCACAUGACCUCAUCAAGAGCAAAGCCAAAUUCUAGCAAGAGAAAGCCAGCUGAGCAUAAUUUUCCAAGUGCCU